RNAcentral lists this ribosomal RNA (489 nucleotides) under uncultured bacterium. RNAcentral describes it as "partial 16S ribosomal RNA". It matches the Rfam family "Bacterial small subunit ribosomal RNA", at positions 355 to 836 of the family's 1533-position model. The record is from RNAcentral.
UAGGGAAUCUUCCACAAUGGACGCAAGUCUGAUGGAGCAACGCCGCGUGAGUGAAGAAGGCUUUCGGGUCGUAAAACUCUGUUAUUGAAGAAGAACGUGUGUGACAGUAACUGGUCAUGCAGUGACGGUAUUCAAUCAGAAAGUCACGGCUAACUACGUGCCAGCAGCCGCGGUAAUACGUAGGUGGCAAGCGUUGUCCGGAUUUAUUGGGCGUAAAGCGAGUGCAGGCGGUCUUUUAAGUCUGAUGUGAAAGCCUUCGGCUUAACCGAAGAAGGGCAUCGGAAACUGGGAGACUUGAGUGCAGAAGAGGAGAGUGGAACUCCAUGUGUAGCGGUGAAAUGCGUAGAUAUAUGGAAGAACACCAGUGGCGAAGGCGGCUCUCUGGUCUGUAACCGACGCUGAGGCUCGAAAGCGUGGGUAGCAAACAGGAUUAGAUACCCUGGUAGUCCACGCCGUAAGCGAUGAAUACUAAGUGUUGGAGGGUUUCCG